CGAAAGCCUGACGGAGCAAUACCGCGUGAGGGAUGAAUGCCUAUGGGUUGUAAACCUCUUUUUUCAGGGAGGAAUAAAUGACGUGUACCUGAAGAAUAAGCAUCGGCUAACUCCGUGCCAGCAGCCGCGGUAAGACGGAGGAUGCAAGUGUUAUUCGGAAUCACUGGGCGUAAAGCGUCUGUAGGUGGCUUAAUAAGUCAACUGUUAAAUCUUGAAGCUCAACUUCAAAAUCGCAGUCGAAACUAUUAGACUAGAGUAUAGUAGAGGUAAAGGGAAUUUCCAGUGGAGCGGUGAAAUGCGUAGAGAUUGGAAAGAACACCGAUGGCGAAGGCACUUUACUGGGCUAUUACUGACACUCGGAGACGAAAGCUAGGGUAGCAAAUG
Molecule: ribosomal RNA, 384 nt
Filed under: uncultured bacterium
Lineage: Bacteria
Description: bacterial SSU rRNA
Rfam family: Bacterial small subunit ribosomal RNA
Source: RNAcentral